Molecule: long non-coding RNA, 1556 nt
Organism: Colossoma macropomum (tambaqui)
Lineage: Eukaryota; Metazoa; Chordata; Actinopteri; Characiformes; Serrasalmidae
Exons: 2
Source: RefSeq, a predicted model, not a curated record
AUCAGCUGGGAGAACGAGCAGAGAAGGAGAGCUGGGAUGGAGGGCUGGAGAGAGAGAGAGAGAGACAGAGAGAGAGAGACCCUGUGAGGAUGGAGAGGAAGCAGAAGAGAGAGACUUAAGGAGUCAUCUGACAGCUUCCUGUGGCGGUAGCUUCUCCAGCUCCCUGAAGAUUGGUGGAGGAUAAUCCAUCUCGCCCUCCUCCGAGCUCUCUCCAUCCGCACGGUCACUCCGGUCAGCCCCGGCUCGCUCUCUCUCUCGUUCCAGCUCACCCAUGGCCUGCACCAGCACCUCUCUGGUCAGCCCCGAGCCCAAAAGUGACCACACCAGCUGCUCCUGUAAGGCCGAGAGUCUGCGGACGCUUCCUGUUGACUUUCGCUCCUCUCCUCCGUCCAUCGCUCUUUCGCUGGACUCCAUUGUCUUUGCUGCUGGACGGUGCGCCUUAGGAGCUGACCACAGGGAGGGAUUCAACAGUGAGCUUGAUACAGGGACACGUAUAGACAUACAUGCGGUUUGGCAGUGUGGUGCUAAAGCAGUGAGGGCACCACCAGGCACUCAGAUCAGUACGCAAACACUAAUAACCCGCUGUGGUCAGCAGUGCUGUCUAUAUGUGUGGUGCUAAAUGAAGUAAUGAAGGUCCUUACAUUGAUGUGUAAACACUGAUAACUCACACACAAGCACACACAAGCACAAACGAACCAUGCUCGCACACUCGCUGACACACUCAUAUUCACCUGUGCGGUUCUCCCGGCUCUAGAUAUCAGCUUUCGUCCCUCAGUGCGGUCAGUUUGCCCAUAAAUAAUCGUCCAAACAGCUCGUGUCCACUUCCUCUCGGCCUUCUCCGUCUCUGCCCGCAAACCUGCUGCUGUUUUUGCUUUCAAAUGCGAUUUUUUUUUUCUCUUUGCUUCCCACUUCACCCCCUCCUCCCUCUCUCUCUCUCCCUCUCUCUCCCUUUCUCUCUCUCUCAGACUGAACUUUGGCCCCAUCUCCCUCCAUUCCCGGUUCAGUUCAGAGUGCAGAGUCUAAUCAUGACCCUUCAGUGCAGAGAAACACACCACACACACAUCUUCAUCCACCCGUCCAUCUGCCCACUGCUGCCCACUCAAAACUCUCCUAUUUCUUCACACGGCGCUCUGAGGUUCUCUGUGUAAAGUCAAUAUAGAACCAGUAGGCUACCAUUACAGAACCGACAGAAACUGAGAUCAGGCAGGAAACGAAGAUCAGUUUGGGUUCUGCAGGAAUGAAAAAUGAAAGGAAUGAAUUUAUAAACAGCCACUGUAUUUCUCACAUUAUGAUGUGUUUAAUGUGUCUACAGUGCCGAACAGGCUGCUUCACCCUGCUGUUUCACCAUUUCUAGUUCUUUUAUAUUAUUUUAGUGUUUUGUGUCUGUUUUGUAUUUAUACUCUUUGAUAUGCUGUGUUUUAUGUCAAAGAGACUGAGGAACUUAUAGAAAUACAAUUCUUGUUGUAUUAUUGUAAUGUGAGUAAAGUAUUUUCAUACUUUCUGUAAUAUAAUGCUAAUCGUUGCACACUUUCCAUAAUGAACACUUUUUUACUGUA